This is a long non-coding RNA of Cryptotermes secundus, 669 nucleotides long. RefSeq lists it as uncharacterized. The transcript is spliced from 3 exons. The record is from RefSeq and is a predicted model, not a curated record. Lineage: Eukaryota; Metazoa; Arthropoda; Insecta; Blattodea; Kalotermitidae.
GGCGUAUGGGUGCACGGAGAUAUGGCUGGACGUAUUCUUUACCUCCGCACUAAAUGAACGUAGUCGGUCAAUUUCAUGCAACGGCUGCUUUAUUCUCCGGGGAUGCAACGAGCGAAACGUCUCCAGCGCCCAGCAGACAGGAGGCUUGGUUAACCGCAGAGAUGGUGCAGAACAAGCGAAUCUCUGCAAAUUCGUUUGUGAAGUGGAGUGUAAUGCUGGACAAUGCGCUGUGCCAGGUCAUGGCGGUGAAACUCAGAAGGAAAUUUCCACUGCAAUCUGUAAAGAACAAAUGGACAGAAACUUACUAGCUUCGGCGGAUACUUGCAGGUGAAGAAACUGGACCAUAGCUGCGAUGUUAUCAUCAGACAAAUGAACGUAAUGUUUCUGACACGUGCAGUGAGUUAAUUCUGUAUCUCUGCGGUUCGUUCCACACAUCGUGUAUAUUAAGUGGAUGUGAAGACAAGUGAAAUGCGAAGAACAACAAAAUGAACGUAGAACAGAUAGUGGACCGUGAUUCGCGGGAAGAACUGUGAUGCAUGUUGAAUAAAAUUUUAUGAUAAACAGCCAGCAUCCUUGUGAGAUUGCGCGAGACAGUAGGAUUAUUUUUAAUUUAUUUAUAUCUUCAAUCAAUUUUUAUUUUUUUAAUUAAAACUACGUGUUCUGUAUUCC